Molecule: unclassified non-coding RNA, 208 nt
Filed under: Glomeraceae sp.
Lineage: Eukaryota; Fungi; Glomeromycota; Glomeromycetes; Glomerales; Glomeraceae
Description: partial contains 5.8S ribosomal RNA and internal transcribed spacer 2
Rfam family: 5.8S ribosomal RNA (bases 1-71)
Source: RNAcentral
GUGAAUCAUCGAAUUUUUGAACGCAAAUUGCGCUCUCUGGUAUUCCGGGGAGUAUGCCUGUUUGAGGGUCAGUUUAAAUAAAAAUCGGAGUUGUUGGUGCCUUUCUUUGUUACGCAGCGGAUGUGGAUCGUCAUGCCUUCGGUUAAGGGACCUAAAAUUUUGCAUGAUUUCGUUCUAAUGUAUGUAAAUGAUUUUACGUACGAUUGCG